UUCCAGACUCCUACGGGAGGCAGCAGUGAGGAAUAUUGGUCAAUGGUCGGGAGACUGAACCAGCCAAGCCGCGUGAGGGAUGAAGGUACAGAGUAUCGUAAACCUCUUUUGUCAGGGAACAAAGGCGGGGACGUGUCCCCGGAUGAGUGUACCUGAAGAAAAAGCAUCGGCUAACUCCGUGCCAGCAGCCGCGGUAAUACGGAGGAUGCGAGCGUUAUCCGGAUUUAUUGGGUUUAAAGGGUGCGCAGGCGGGGAUUUAGGCCAGCGGAAAAUUGGCGGGGCUCACCCCCGGCGAGCCGUUGAAACUGGCCUGCUAGAGUGGGCGAGAAGUAUGCGGAAUGCGUGGUGUAGCGGUGAAAUGCAUAGAUAUCACGCAGAACUCCGAUUGCGAAGGCAGCAUACCGGCGCCCAACUGACGCUCAGGCACGAAAGCGUGGGUAUCGAACAGGAUUAGAUACCCCGGUAC
Molecule: ribosomal RNA, 466 nt
Filed under: uncultured bacterium
Lineage: Bacteria
Description: bacterial SSU rRNA
Rfam family: Bacterial small subunit ribosomal RNA
Source: RNAcentral